GUCGAACGGAAAGGCCCUUCGGGGUACUCGAGUGGCGAACGGGUGAGUAACACGUGGGUGAUCUGCCCUGCACUUUGGGAUAAGCCUGGGAAACUGGGUCUAAUACCGAAUAGGACCGCAUGCUUCAUGGUGUGUGGUGGAAAGCUUUUGCGGUGUGGGAUGGGCCCGCGGCCUAUCAGCUUGUUGGUGAGGUAAUGGCUUACCAAGGCGACGACGGGUAGCCGGCCUGAGAGGGUGACCGGCCACACUGGGACUGAGAUACGGCCCAGACUCCUACGGGAGGCAGCAGUGGGGAAUAUUGCACAAUGGGCGCAAGCCUGAUGCAGCGACGCCGCGUGAGGGAUGACGGCCUUCGGGUUGUAAACCUCUUUCGCCAGGGACGAAGCGCAAGUGACGGUACCUGGAGAAGAAGGACCGGCCAACUACGUGCCAGCAGCCGCGGUAAUACGUAGGGUCCGAGCGUUGUCCGGAAUUACUGGGCGUAAAGAGCUCGUAGGUGGUUUGUCGCGUUGUUCGUGAAAACUCACAGCUUAACUGUGGGCGUGCGGGCGAUACGGGCAGACUUGAGUACUGCAGGGGAGACUGGAAUUCCUGGUGUAGCGGUGGAAUGCGCAGAUAUCAGGAGGAACACCGGUGGCGAAGGCGGGUCUCUGGGCAGUAACUGACGCUGAGGAGCGAAAGCGUGGGGAGCGAACAGGAUUAGAUACCCUGGUAGUCCACGCCGUANACGGUGGGUACUAGGUGUGGGUUUCCUUCCUUGGGAUCCGUGCCGUAGCUAACGCAUUAAGUACCCCGCCUGGGGAGUACGGCCGCAAGGCUAAAACUCAAAGAAAUUGACGGGGGCCCGCACAAGCGGCGGAGCAUGUGGAUUAAUU
This 875-nucleotide ribosomal RNA is filed under the name uncultured Mycobacterium sp. RNAcentral describes it as "bacterial SSU rRNA". It matches the Rfam family "Bacterial small subunit ribosomal RNA", at positions 61 to 951 of the family's 1533-position model. Lineage: Bacteria; Bacillati; Actinomycetota; Actinomycetes; Mycobacteriales; Mycobacteriaceae. The record is from RNAcentral.